CUAAGCAAAUACCCUUUUCUUUGACACAAACAAAAUUCUAAAAAAGAAAAAGCCGAAUAACAGGCAAAUGAAUCAAAAGAUGUGUAUUCAGGUAUCUUUCAACAGAAGCUCAAGUAAUCCAAACAUGUGACUCUAUGUAUCCAGUUAUAAAAUCCUGAAACUACACACAAUAAUUAGUUUGCUUUCCAGAAAUAAGAAACAAGAAAUGUAGGGUUCCCUGUCAGCAUGCCACUUCAAGCACCGCCUUGCAACUGCAACACCAUGGCAUAACAACACAUAACCAGUUAUAAAAUCCGGAAACUGCAACUGCAAGCAUCAUAACAGAACAGAGUUAGUAACCAUAUGAAUUAGCAGCUGCAGGUAGCAAGGGAUGAUCAAUCUAUCUUGGCAGAUGUGUACAAAGUGCUAGCUAUAAUAGUUGUACAAUAUAGCACAUGGUUUGGUUAGGUAUGAUUUAUAAUAUAAAUCAAAAUAAACCAAACAGCAACAAAACAAAUUAGUCCAGUUUGUAUAACAUAUGAUAAUUCAACCCAAAAAAUUCUUAAAAUACCUAUGGAUAUCAACUUCCUUAGAAUAUAUAUUCACAAACAAACCUGAAAAUACUGAUUAUUAGUAAUGGGAAACUAGAGGCACCAAAAGAUUAAUAACACAUAGAAAAGCCCACUGAAACAGCAUUAUAACAAAUCAAACAUAAAUCAUUGUGGAGGCCAAUCAAAAUUUAUUUUGUUGCCACAGUUAUAGCACAUGUUAAUAGUUUGAGAAACUACGCACAAGUCUUAAAUUAAGACAAUGAUAAAAUGGUUUAAUGGGCUGAUUAGAUGAAGCAAUAUCAACGAGACAAUAACCAACAUACCCCAGUAGACCUCUGCCUUGCCAUGCUCUUGGAGUUACUGUUACAUUGAAUGGGGCACCUUGCCUCAAAACUACAACAGGUAUAGCAUGACCCUGAUUUGCCUGAGCCUCGGUAGCAAGACUUUGCAGAAGAUUAUCACCAACUUUAUAUUCCACACUGCCAAAUUUAACAAUCUGAUCUCCAAGCUGUAAACCAUCCUCUGCUGUAGGGGAUCCAUCCGCUAUUUCAUCAACCACUGCAAAGGGUAUGCUGACAAUCACAUCCAAAUCCAUGGAACUGGGAGACUCUCCCAGAACAACAUUGUGGGAGGAUGCAGAUGCAGCAGUGCCAGUUGAUAAGUCUUGAUUAUUUGAUGCUCCAUCAUGGCCUUGCAAAUAAGAAAAACUAUUCAGCUGAUUGCACACAAAAGGUCAUUACUUUAUCCAGAUAUUCAAACAACAGUUUUAAAGAGACAAGAUGGAAAACCAUUGCAAGUUGUCCUAUGGGACUCAACUAUAGUAAUAACACUGUAUUUGAGCUAAAGAAGCAUCAAUUAAUGGAAGGAUUAUAACAGGAUAUAAGCACAAAUGAUUAUGUAUAUUUUGAAAAUGAAUUAAAAAAUGUCAAACCAAAGAAUGGUCAUUGCUAAAUCAAACUUGUUUAUUUCGAAGUUUUCUCUCAUUCAAAUGGCAAUAUGGAUUAGGUCCAUUCUAUCACUUUCCAUAAUUGUGCUAAAAAAGAGUUAUAACAUAUAUCUAGUGCAGAAUUAGGCCCUUUUCCCUGUGGAAAAUAAGAUCGUGCACAACAUGCAAAUACCAAUGAAAUGGACAGACAACACCAGCUUCAAGUCAGUUCCGCCAAGUUACAUCAGCAGACGAGCUUUAUUCAAUAUUUUGCUCAAUAGAUCUCAUUAAACUUUCAGUAUCUACCUGAAUCCUUACGGGAUGAUGGCCUAGAAGCAAGCCUAGCUGAAUGCAGAGCUAGUAUAUUUUCAGAUAUUUUCUCUGUGAUCUCCUUGUGAUCACUUCGCAGCACAGCAAGACGAUUCCGUUCUGCUCUCACAGCAGGAAUGUCAAUAUCUGCACGAGGAAAUCCCUCAGCGUCGACGAGGUUGCCGGAGAGACCAGGACCGCCGGGAUGGCAGAGGCGCUCAAUGAUACCGUUCAUCUCCGCUUCGAUGGAGCUUCUCUUCUCUGCAAGCUUCAUUGUUUCUGCUUUCAGAUUUGUGGCCACCAUUCUGUGCUUGAAUUGGUGCUGGAUUAUGGCUUUGCCUAUAGGUAAUUAGGGUUUUACGGGUUAGACUUGAAAGAGAAGAAAAAGGACCAGGUGAGUCUUUCGGUAAAUGGUUCUGGACAGUUCCGUCAAUUCUCUUUAUGUAAUG
This 2213-nucleotide unclassified non-coding RNA is filed under the name Hevea brasiliensis (rubber tree). The record is from RNAcentral. Lineage: Eukaryota; Viridiplantae; Streptophyta; Magnoliopsida; Malpighiales; Euphorbiaceae.